AAAUAAUUCAUAGAUUUAAACGAUAAUCAUGAUGGAAAUAAGCUGAUUAACCCAAGUUAAUGUAGAAAAAGAGAAACAAAAAAAAACCAAUAAAAUUAAUAAAUUAACCAAAUUGGUGGAAAGAAAAAUUCUAAUUACGAUUAACCUUUGACAAAAUUUUCUAUUCUUUUUUCCUAUUAUCUUAUAAAUCUCAAUAGAUGGCGAUCUUUGUUUUCGAUCUUUUCUCAUAUGUUGAAUUGAUUGUUUAUUAACAUGUUUUCUUUUUUUUUUAAUUAAUUGAUUAAUAUUGGAAUUUGAAUCAACUUAUUUGUGAAAAAGUUCGUAUACAAGUGUUGGUAGAACAACUUGACACCAAGGGCACUUCGAGAUUUUUGUAAUCCAUGAUCCUUUCCCUCCUUUUUUUCCCCUCUCCCUUGUACGGUUGUCACUACCGGAAACGAUGAAUUUUAAUUCAUCGAAGCCUCCCCUGAGGCCGCUGUUGAAGCUUAAAUAAACUUGAA
This is a long non-coding RNA of Panonychus citri (citrus red mite), 500 nucleotides long. RefSeq lists it as uncharacterized. The record is from RefSeq and is a predicted model, not a curated record. The transcript is spliced from 2 exons. Lineage: Eukaryota; Metazoa; Arthropoda; Arachnida; Trombidiformes; Tetranychidae.